UACGUAGGGUGCGAGCGUUGUCCGGAAUUAUUGGGCGUAAAGAGCUUGUAGGCGGUCUGUCGCGUCUGCUGUGAAAAUCCGGGGCUCAACCCCGGACUUGCAGUGGGUACGGGCAGACUAGAGUUCGGUAGGGGAGACUGGAAUUCCUGGUGUAGCGGUGAAAUGCGCAGAUAUCAGGAGGAACACCGGUGGCGAAGGCGGGUCUCUGGGCCGAUACUGACGCUGAGGAGCGAAAGCGUGGGGAGCGAACAGG
Molecule: ribosomal RNA, 253 nt
Filed under: uncultured bacterium
Lineage: Bacteria
Description: partial 16S ribosomal RNA
Rfam family: Bacterial small subunit ribosomal RNA
Source: RNAcentral